AUGUCUACAUGUCUCACAGAUAUGAUUGGUGCCAAUGAGGUGGAUUUUAUUGGGCUACAAGAAACUAUGAAGAAAUCCUAUAAUCAUUCCUUUUUUAGGAAGAUAGAUCCGAAUACAAAAUUCCAUUGGGAAUGGAUUCCUUCGAGGGGAAAGUCAGGGGGUAUCCUUUGUGGCCUCAAUAAAGACAAAUUUGAUGUCAUGGGAUCUAGACAGGGCAAAUAUAUCCUACAAAUGGACUUGUUUGAUAAAAACAAGAAUUGUGAUUGGUCUCUCCUUAUAGUUUAUGGUGCUGCUCAUGAUGAGCAUAAGCCUGAAUUCAUAGCAGAAUUAUCUGCCUUCUGUCAUGGUAUUAAUAGACCCUAUUUGGUGGGGGGCUUCAAUAUUAUUCGCCACAAUGGUGAGAAAAACAAGAAAACACCCAUGUCUCAUUUUUCAGAUGUGUUUAACUCUGUUAUCCACCUGCUUGGUUUAAGGGAGAUUCACAUGACUGGGGGAUGUUAUACGUGGUCCAAUAAACAGGAAAACCCAACUCUUGAAAAAUUGGACAAAGUGCUGAUGUCUCCUGAUUGGGAAGACUUAUUUCCCCUCGCUUCGGUGAGUAAGCUGGUGAAAGAACUAUCAGACCACAAUCCCCUUUUAUUGGAUGGUGGGUCGCCUCAUCUAGAGCACCAGGUAAUAGGUGCUUUAAAUUUGACAAUGCCUGGCUUAGUAAUCCUGAAUUUCUCCCCUUGGUGGCCGAUAUUUGGUCAAGACCAGUAUAUUCGGUCGACCCCAUAG
Molecule: ribosomal RNA, 777 nt
Filed under: Triticum aestivum (bread wheat)
Lineage: Eukaryota; Viridiplantae; Streptophyta; Magnoliopsida; Poales; Poaceae
Description: partial small subunit ribosomal RNA
Source: RNAcentral